RNAcentral lists this ribosomal RNA (492 nucleotides) under uncultured bacterium. Its description in RNAcentral is "partial 16S ribosomal RNA". It matches the Rfam family "Bacterial small subunit ribosomal RNA", at positions 29 to 507 of the family's 1533-position model. The record is from RNAcentral.
AGUGAACGCUGGCGGUAGGCCUAACACAUGCAAGUCGAACGGCAGCACAGUAAGAGCUUGCUCUUACGGGUGGCGAGUGGCGGACGAGUGAGGAAUACAUCGGAAUCUACUUUUUCGUGGGGGAUAACGUAGGGAAACUUACGCUAAUACCGCAUACGACCUACGGGUGAAAGCAGGGGAUCUUCGGACCUUGCGCAAUUGAAUGAGCCGAUGUCGGAUUAGCUAGUUGGCGGGGUAAAGGCCCACCAAGGCGACGAUCCGUAGCUGGUCUGAGAGGAUGAUCAGCCACACUGGAAUUGAGACACGGUCCAGACUCCUACGGGAGGCAGCAGUGGGGAAUAUUGGACAAUGGGCGCAAGCCUGAUCCAGCCAUACCGCGUGGGUGAAGAAGGCCUUCGGGUUGUAAAGCCCUUUUGUUGGGAAAGAAAAGCAGCAGGUUAAUACCCCGCUGUUCUGACGGUACCCAAAGAAUAAGCACCGGCUAACUUCGUG